CCUACGGGUGGCAGCAGUGGGGAAUAUUGCGCAAUGGGCGAAAGCCUGACGCAGCGACGCCGCGUGAGGGAUGAAGGUCUUCGGAUCGUAACCCUCUGUCAGCAGGGAAGAACGGUCCCUGUGCUACUCAGCAGUGCAUUGACGGUACCUGCAAAGGAAGCACCGGCUAACUCCGUGCCCGCAGCCGCGGUAAUACGGAGGGUGCGGGCGUUAAUCGGAAUUACUGGGCGUAAAGCGCUCGUAGGCGGUAUGUCAAGUCAAGGGUGAACUCCCCGCGCUCAACGUGGGAACUGCCUUUGAAACUGGCAAACUGGAGUGUGUGAGAGGAUAGUGGAAUUCCAGGUGUAGGAGUGAAAUCCGUAGAGAUCUGGAGGAAUAUCAGUGGCGAAGGCGACUAUCUGGCACAUAACUGACGCUGAGGAGCGAAAGCGUGGGUAGCAAACAGGAUUAGAUACCCCAGUAGUC
RNAcentral lists this ribosomal RNA (465 nucleotides) under uncultured bacterium. RNAcentral's name for it is "partial 16S ribosomal RNA". It matches the Rfam family "Bacterial small subunit ribosomal RNA", at positions 338 to 795 of the family's 1533-position model. The record is from RNAcentral.